GAAAUGCGAUAACUAGUGUGAAUUGCAGAAUUCCGUGAAUCAUCGAGUCUUUGAACGCACAUUGCGCCCCCCUGGUAUUCCGGGGGGCAUGCCUGUCCGAGCGUCAUUGCUGCCCAUCAAGCACGGCUUGUGUGUUGGGUCGUCGUCCCCUCUCCGGGGGGGACGGGCCCCAAAGGCAGCGGCGGCACCGCGUCCGAUCCUCGAGCGUAUGGGGCUUUGUCACCCGCUCUGUAGGCCCGGCCGGCGCUUGCCGAACGCAAAUCAAUCUUUUUCCAGGUUGACCUCGGAUCAGGUAGGGAUACCCGCUGAACUUAAGC
This 317-nucleotide unclassified non-coding RNA is filed under the name plant metagenome. RNAcentral describes it as "partial contains 5.8S ribosomal RNA, internal transcribed spacer 2, and large subunit ribosomal RNA". The stretch from base 1 to 106 matches the Rfam family "5.8S ribosomal RNA", at positions 50 to 154 of the family's 154-position model. The record is from RNAcentral.